GACGAACGCUGGCGGCGUGCUUAACACAUGCCAGUCGAACGGAAAGGCCCUGCUUUUGUGGGGUGCUCGAGUGGCGAACGGGUGAGUAACACGUGAGUAACCUGCCCUUGACUUUGGGAUAACUUCAGGAAACUGGGGCUAAUACCGGAUAGGAGCUCCUGCUGCAUGGUGGGGGUUGGAAAGUUUCGGCGGUUGGGGAUGGACUCGCGGCUUAUCAGCUUGUUGGUGGGGUAGUGGCUUAACAAGGCUUUGACGGGUAGCCGGCCUGAGAGGGUGACCGGCCACAUUGGGACUGAGAUACGGCCCAGACUCCUACGGGAGGCAGCAGUGGGGAAUAUUGCACAAUGGGCGGAAGCCUGAUGCAGCAACGCCGCGUGCGGGAUGACGGCCUUCGGGUUGUAAACCGCUUUCGCCUGUGACGAAGCGUGAGUGACGGUAAUGGGUAAAGAAGCACCGGCUAACUACGUG
RNAcentral lists this ribosomal RNA (468 nucleotides) under uncultured bacterium. RNAcentral's name for it is "partial 16S ribosomal RNA". It matches the Rfam family "Bacterial small subunit ribosomal RNA", at positions 28 to 507 of the family's 1533-position model. The record is from RNAcentral.